RNAcentral lists this ribosomal RNA (496 nucleotides) under uncultured bacterium. Its description in RNAcentral is "bacterial SSU rRNA". It matches the Rfam family "Bacterial small subunit ribosomal RNA", at positions 28 to 524 of the family's 1533-position model. The record is from RNAcentral.
GAUGAACGCUAGCGGGAGGCUUAACACAUGCAAGUCGAGCGGGAUUAGCAGCAAUGCUAUGAGAGCGGCGCACGGGUGCGUAACGCGUAUGCAACCUGCCUUAUACAGGGGAAUAGCCCAUGGAAACGUGGAUUAACGUCCCAUAGGAUUACAGUCUCGCAUGAGACAGUGAUUAAAACUGAGGUGGUAUAAGAUGGGCAUGCGUCUGAUUAGGUAGUUGGUAGGGUAAUGGCCUACCAAGCCGACGAUCAGUAGGGGUUCUGAGAGGAUUACCCCCCACACUGGUACUGAGACACGGACCAGACUCCUACGGGAGGCAGCAGUGAGGAAUAUUGGUCAAUGGCCGGAAGGCUGAACCAGCCAUCCCGCGUGCAGGAUGACGGCCCUAUGGGUUGUAAACUGCUUUUUGUACCUGAAGAAACCUGGUUACGUGUAACCAGUUGCCGGUAAGGUAUGAAUAAGCAUCGGCUAACUCCGUGCCAGCAGCCGCGGUAAU